This 133-nucleotide small nucleolar RNA is filed under the name Mus caroli (Ryukyu mouse). Its description in RNAcentral is "predicted gene, 22469 (MGP_CAROLIEiJ_G0036013.1)". It matches the Rfam family "Small nucleolar RNA SNORA17". Rfam says of the family: snoRNA ACA 17 belongs to the H/ACA family of snoRNAs and is predicted to guide pseudouridylation of the 28S rRNA at positions U4659 and U4598. It shares the same host gene together with ACA43. The record is from RNAcentral. Lineage: Eukaryota; Metazoa; Chordata; Mammalia; Rodentia; Muridae.
CUUUCCCAUAGAGGUGUUGUGGGUGUGGCUGCUGUGUCACAUGUAUAUGAGUAUAUGGCAGAGAGGUGAGAGGCUGUGUCUAUGCUUUAGUGUUCUGACCUAUGAAGAUCUGAAUGACUGGUAGGCUAACAUU